CUGCAUGUUGGAAGUGCUGUGAAUUCCAAGGAUAAACAUGUAAUGGUAGUAUGAAAUAGUAUUAUGUUUAUUAUGAGCCAAGGGUUUCUUCUCUUACUUUUGGCCAGACAAACAAGGUCAGCUGGAAGGAGGGUAGAGCACAACAGAAGCGGGGACUGGCUUGGAAGACACUGCAGCCACUAUUGAUUUUCACCUGUGUGAAGCAAUCAUUGGUGGAGUCCAGAAACUGCAUCUGUAAACUCAGUCUCAUGACAUUUGGGCAGCUUGUGUACCAGCAACUGAAGCUCUCCAUCGUGGGGUACUGUGCAACUUCACUUUCUUGGAUGAGCUGUGCAAAGCACCA
This is a long non-coding RNA of Junco hyemalis (dark-eyed junco), 343 nucleotides long. Lineage: Eukaryota; Metazoa; Chordata; Aves; Passeriformes; Passerellidae. The record is from Ensembl.